This 728-nucleotide ribosomal RNA is filed under the name uncultured Fusobacterium sp. RNAcentral describes it as "bacterial SSU rRNA". It matches the Rfam family "Bacterial small subunit ribosomal RNA", at positions 28 to 776 of the family's 1533-position model. The record is from RNAcentral. Lineage: Bacteria; Fusobacteriati; Fusobacteriota; Fusobacteriia; Fusobacteriales; Fusobacteriaceae.
GAUGAACGCUGACAGAAUGCUUAACACAUGCAAGUCGACUCGAGUCUUCGGACUUGGGUGGCGCACGGGUGAGUAACGCGUAAAGAACUUGCCUCUUAGACCGGGACAACAUCUGGAAACGGAUGCUAAUACCGGAUAUUAUGGUUUUUUCGCAUGGAGGAAUCAUGAAAGCUAGAUGCGCUAAGAGAGAGCUUUGCGUCCCAUUAGCUAGUUGGUGAGGUAACGGCCCACCAAGGCAAUGAUGGGUAGCCGGCCUGAGAGGGUGAACGGCCACAAGGGGACUGAGACACGGCCCUUACUCCUACGGGAGGCAGCAGUGGGGAAUAUUGGACAAUGGACCACAAGUCUGAUCCAGCAAUUCUGUGUGUACGAUGACGUUUUUCGGAAUGUAAAGUGCUUUCAGUCGGGAAGAAGUCAGUGACGGUACCGACAGAAGAAGCGACGGCUAAAUACGUGCCAGCAGCCGCGGUAAUACGUAUGUCGCAAGCGUUAUCCGGAUUUAUUGGGCGUAAAGCGCGUCUAGGCGGCAAGGAAAGUCUGAUGUGAAAAUGCGGAGCUCAACUCCGUAUGGCGUUGGAAACUGCCUUACUAGAGUACUGGAGAGGUAGGCGGAACUACAAGUGUAGAGGUGAAAUUCGUAGAUAUUUUGUAGGGAAUGCCGAUGGGGGAAGCCAGCCUACUGGGACAGAUUCUGACGCUAAAUCGCGAAAGCGUGGGUAGCAAACAGG